Molecule: ribosomal RNA, 207 nt
Filed under: uncultured bacterium
Lineage: Bacteria
Description: partial 16S ribosomal RNA
Rfam family: Bacterial small subunit ribosomal RNA
Source: RNAcentral
UGCGCAGGCGGAUGAAUGUGUCAGGUGUGAAAUCUCGGGGCUCAACCUCGAAACUGCGCCUGAAACUGUUCAUCUAGAGUAUUGGAGAGGUAAGCGGAAUUUCCGGUGUAGCGGUGAAAUGCGUAGAUAUCGGAAGGAACACCAAUGGCGAAGGCAGCUUACUGGACAAUAACUGACGCUCAGGCGCGAAAGCAUGGGUAGCGAAAG